This 52-nucleotide transfer RNA is filed under the name Paenisporosarcina sp. OV554. RNAcentral's name for it is "tRNA-Glu". It matches the Rfam family "tRNA", at positions 20 to 71 of the family's 71-position model. Rfam says of the family: Transfer RNA (tRNA) molecules are approximately 80 nucleotides in length. Their secondary structure includes four short double-helical elements and three loops (D, anti-codon, and T loops). Lineage: Bacteria; Bacillati; Bacillota; Bacilli; Caryophanales; Caryophanaceae. The record is from RNAcentral.
AAGACACCGCCCUUUCACGGCGGUAACACGGGUUCGAAUCCCGUAGGGGUCA